UGGGGAAUAUUGCGCAAUGGGGGGAACCCUGACGCAGCCAUGCCGCGUGAAUGAAGAAGGCCUUCGGGUUGUAAAGUUCUUUCGGUAUUGAGGAAGGUUGAUGUGUUAAUAGCACAUCAAAUUGACGUUAAAUACAGAAGAAGCACCGGCUAACUCCGUGCCAGCAGCCGCGGUAAUACGGAGGGUGCGAGCGUUAAUCGGAAUAACUGGGCGUAAAGGGCACGCAGGCGGUUAUUUAAGUGAGGUGUGAAAGCCCCGGGCUUAACCUGGGAAUUGCAUUUCAGACUGGGUAACUAGAGUACUUUAGGGAGGGGUAGAAUUCCACGUGUAGCGGUGAAAUGCGUAGAGAUGUGGAGGAAUACCGAAGGCGAAGGCAGCCCCUUGGGAAUGUACUGACGCUCAUGUGCGAAAGCGUGGGGAGCAAACAGGAUUAGAUACCCUGGUAGUCCACGCUGUAAACGCUGUCGAUUUGGGGGUUGGGGCUUAACUCUGGCGCCCGUAGCUAACGUGAUAAAUCGACCGCCUGGGGAGUACGGCCGCAAGGUUA
This 547-nucleotide ribosomal RNA is filed under the name uncultured bacterium. Its description in RNAcentral is "bacterial SSU rRNA". It matches the Rfam family "Bacterial small subunit ribosomal RNA", at positions 355 to 896 of the family's 1533-position model. The record is from RNAcentral.